This 76-nucleotide transfer RNA is filed under the name Sporomusa acidovorans. RNAcentral's name for it is "tRNA_Ala_CGC". It matches the Rfam family "tRNA". From Rfam's summary of the family: Transfer RNA (tRNA) molecules are approximately 80 nucleotides in length. The record is from RNAcentral. Lineage: Bacteria; Bacillati; Bacillota; Negativicutes; Selenomonadales; Sporomusaceae. RNAcentral also lists the same sequence under 6 other names.
GGGGGCGUAGCUCAGUUGGGAGAGCGCUUGGUUCGCAUUCAAGAGGUCAUGGGUUCGAAUCCCACCGUCUCCACCA